RNAcentral lists this ribosomal RNA (443 nucleotides) under uncultured bacterium. RNAcentral describes it as "partial 16S ribosomal RNA". It matches the Rfam family "Bacterial small subunit ribosomal RNA", at positions 338 to 795 of the family's 1533-position model. The record is from RNAcentral.
CCUACGGGUGGCAGCAGUGGGGAAUAUUGGGCAAUGGGCGCAAGCCUGACCCAGCAACGCCGCGUGAAGGAAGAAGGCUCUCGGGUUGUAAACUUCUUUUAUCAGGGACGAAGCAAGUGACGGUACCUGAUGAAUAAGCCACGGCUAACUACGUGCCAGCAGCCGCGGUAAUACGUAGGUGGCAAGCGUUAUCCGGAUUUACUGGGUGUAAAGGGCGUGUAGGCGGGAAAGCAAGUCAGAUGUGAAAACCAUGGGCUCAACCUGUGGCCUGCAUUUGAAACUGUUUUUCUUGAGUACUGGAGAGGCAGACGGAAUUCCUAGUGUAGCGGUGAAAUGCGUAGAUAUUAGGAGGAACACCAGUGGCGAAGGCGACUUUCUGGACUGUACCUGACGCUGAGGCGCGAAAGCGUGGGUAGCGAACGGGAUUAGAUACCCCGGUAGUC